Molecule: transfer RNA, 530 nt
Filed under: Cyanocohniella calida CCALA 1049
Lineage: Bacteria; Bacillati; Cyanobacteriota; Cyanophyceae; Nostocales; Nodulariaceae
Description: 16S-23S ribosomal RNA intergenic spacer
Rfam family: tRNA (bases 278-350)
Source: RNAcentral
UUUAGGGAGACCUACACCCCUCAGAAAUCGAAAACACACAGUGAAUAGAAACUGAGUUGGUCUAACCUAGGUCGGUCGCAACAUUUGCUGAACUUUCAAACUAUAGAUUUGGUUCGGAGAACGGGCUAUUAGCUCAGGUGGUUAGAGCGCACCCCUGAUAAGGGUGAGGUCCCUGGUUCGAGUCCAGGAUGGCCCACCUGAAAAUAAUUAGUAAUUAGUAAUGCGUAAUUCGUAAUUAAUUACGAACUGCGAAUUAAAGAUUAAGAAUUAUUUGGAUGGGGGUUUAGCUCAGUUGGUAGAGCGCCUGCUUUGCAAGCAGGAUGUCAGCGGUUCGAGUCCGCUAAUCUCCACCUAACUAAAAACAUCAAUAAAUAGAGGAAAAAAGUUCAGCAACAUGGCUAGAACAAGCCAGACUGCUGGGUGAAAGUCCAGCCAGAACCUUGAAAACUGCAUAAGUAACGCGAAAAAAGCAGGCAGACACAGACAUUCAAGAAGUGAAAGUGUUUGCAGUGGAAAACCAAUUGUAUUGU